UACGAAGGGGGCUAGCGUUGUUCGGAUUUACUGGGCGUAAAGCGCACGUAGGCGGAUCUUCAAGUCAGAGGUGAAAUCCCAAGGCUCAACCUUGGAACUGCCUUUGAUACUGGGGAUCUUGAGUCCGGGAGAGGUGAGUGGAACUGCGAGUGUAGAGGUGAAAUUCGUAGAUAUUCGCAAGAACACCAGUGGCGAAGGCGGCUCACUGGCCCGGUACUGACGCUGAGGUGCGAAAGCGUGGGGAGCAAACAGG
Molecule: ribosomal RNA, 253 nt
Filed under: uncultured bacterium
Lineage: Bacteria
Description: partial 16S ribosomal RNA
Rfam family: Bacterial small subunit ribosomal RNA
Source: RNAcentral